UACAGAGGGUGCAAGCGUUGUUCGGAAUCAUUGGGCGUAAAGGGCGUGUAGGCGGUUUGUUAAGUCAUGUGUGAAAUCCCUCGGCUCAACCGGGGAACGACGCAUGAAACUGGCAGGCUAGAGUACUAAAGAGGAUCGCGGAAUUCCCGGUGUAGAGGUGAAAUUCGUAGAUAUCGGGAGGAACACCGGUGGCGAAGGCGGCGAUCUGGGUAGAUACUGACGCUGAGGUGCGAAAGCGUGGGGAGCAAACAGG
RNAcentral lists this ribosomal RNA (253 nucleotides) under uncultured bacterium. Its description in RNAcentral is "partial 16S ribosomal RNA". It matches the Rfam family "Bacterial small subunit ribosomal RNA", at positions 524 to 776 of the family's 1533-position model. The record is from RNAcentral.